This 453-nucleotide long non-coding RNA is filed under the name Mustela putorius furo (domestic ferret). RNAcentral's name for it is "lncRNA (ENSMPUG00000031458.1)". Lineage: Eukaryota; Metazoa; Chordata; Mammalia; Carnivora; Mustelidae. The record is from RNAcentral.
GGCAAAUCUGGCUUUCUUUAGCAAAAGAAAAAAGGAUGGGGGGCCUGGGGGCGAAUACCUCAAUCUGUAUGCAAACCAGUUCAAAGCAAACCAGCAGUCAUCUCUUCAUAAAGGAGAGGGAAAGCCCGAGCUCCUAGCAACAUACUCCCUUCCCAGAGGUUCUACCUUGAAUGUGGGGGGAUGGGCAUAACCAGAUCAGCAAUUGUGAGUCACCACACAGGGGACAUCCUUUGAGGGUUCAAAUGGCUUCCCACACCUGCUCUCCAUGUUCUCCGCUGGCUUUCAGGACCUGAGCACUCAUUAGGCCCAGGUUAAUCGGAUGAUAGGGUGGUCUUUAAGAGAGACCCUGUCUCUGGAAGCUUCUACUCUGGGGAGUCCAGGGUCAGCAAAGCCCCUCACUACGCCUCACCCUGGGAGAUCUUUGGAGGCUGCGACGAAUGUGAUUGCUUUGGA